Molecule: transfer RNA, 85 nt
Filed under: Hippoglossus stenolepis (Pacific halibut)
Lineage: Eukaryota; Metazoa; Chordata; Actinopteri; Pleuronectiformes; Pleuronectidae
Description: tRNA-Val
Rfam family: tRNA
About the family: Transfer RNA (tRNA) molecules are approximately 80 nucleotides in length. Their secondary structure includes four short double-helical elements and three loops (D, anti-codon, and T loops). Further hydrogen bonds mediate the characteristic L-shaped molecular structure. tRNAs have two regions of fundamental functional importance: the anti-codon, which is responsible for specific mRNA codon recognition, and the 3' end, to which the tRNAs corresponding amino acid is attached (by aminoacyl-tRNA synthetases). tRNAs cope with the degeneracy of the genetic code in two manners: having more than one tRNA (with a specific anti-codon) for a particular amino acid; and 'wobble' base-pairing, i.e. permitting non-standard base-pairing at the 3rd anti-codon position.
Source: RNAcentral
GUUUCCGUAGUGUAGUGGUUAGUGUAGUGGUUAUCACGUUCGCCUAACACGCGAAAGGUCCCCGGUUCGAGACCGGGCGGAAACA